RNAcentral lists this ribosomal RNA (857 nucleotides) under uncultured bacterium. Its description in RNAcentral is "bacterial SSU rRNA". It matches the Rfam family "Bacterial small subunit ribosomal RNA", at positions 8 to 859 of the family's 1533-position model. The record is from RNAcentral.
AGAGUUUGAUCCUGGCUCAGAUUGAACGCUGGCGGCAGGCCUAACACAUGCAAGUCGAGCGGUAGAGAGGUGCUUGCACCUCUUGAGAGCGGCGGACGGGUGAGUAAUACCUAGGAAUCUGCCUGAUAGUGGGGGACAACGUUCGGAAACGGACGCUAAUACCGCAUACGUCCUACGGGAGAAAGCAGGGGACCUUCGGGCCUUGCGCUAUCAGAUGAGCCUAGGUCGGAUUAGCUAGUUGGUGAGGUAAUGGCUCACCAAGGCUACGAUCCGUAACUGGUCUGAGAGGAUGAUCAGUCACACUGGAACUGAGACACGGUCCAGACUCCUACGGGAGGCAGCAGUGGGGAAUAUUGGACAAUGGGCGAAAGCCUGAUCCAGCCAUGCCGCGUGUGUGAAGAAGGUCUUCGGAUUGUAAAGCACUUUAAGUUGGGAGGAAGGGCAGUUACCUAAUACGUGAUUGUCUUGACGUUACCGACAGAAUAAGCACCGGCUAACUCUGUGCCAGCAGCCGCGGUAAUACAGAGGGUGCAAGCGUUAAUCGGAAUUACUGGGCGUAAAGCGCGCGUAGGUGGUUUGUUAAGUUGAAUGUGAAAUCCCCGGGCUCAACCUGGGAACUGCAUCCAAAACUGGCAAGCUAGAGUAUGGUAGAGGGUAGUGGAAUUUCCUGUGUAGCGGUGAAAUGCGUAGAUAUAGGAAGGAACACCAGUGGCGAAGGCGACUACCUGGACUGAUACUGACACUGAGGUGCGAAAGCGUGGGGAGCAAACAGGAUUAGAUACCCUGGUAGUCCACGCCGUAAACGAUGUCAACUAGCCCUUUGGGAGUCUUGAACUCUUAGUGGCGCAGCUAACGCA